GACCGAGGCGCCGCCAUGGAGCCGCCCGCCGCGGCCUGGGGCCUCCUUGUAUCCGCCGGGACUCUGCCCGGAGCCGGGGGGAGCCGGGGGGGGCUGGGCGGGUGGCGGGGAGGCGGGCAGUCGGCGGCGGUUUCCUUAGCUGCGGUGCAGAGCGUUGCCGGCACGGAGGUGCGGGCUGGGCGGCGGGAGCCGUGCGUGCUCAGCCUGGGCCGGCGGAGCGGCCGCUACGGGGUAGUUAUCCAUUCACAGGAGAAAGAAAACUCUGUUUCGGAUUAUAUUCCCAUCAACAGCCGCUUUAAAUGCAUACAAGAGGCGGAAGAAACUCUGCUGAUUGAUAUAGCUACAAACACAGGCUGUAAGGUCCGGAUACAAGGUGAUGAGACAGCAGAGCGGCUCUUUGAAAUCCCUGAUGAGGAGCAUUGCUUAGGAUUCCUUUCAGAAGUGCACAGCAUACAGGAAGCCCACCUGAAAGCUUCUCUUUCUGAACCUAAGGACUCAACCAGCUGGCAUCAGGUAGAGAAGAACCUCCCAGGUCUAUUGCAGGCCUCUUCUUCAGGAGCUCUGGGCUUUGACGAUGACUUCAACACCUUAAGCCUAGAAGAGAAGAGAAACAUGCAAAACCACCAAACGGGAUCUCGCCGGGAACCCCCACCUCCUCCUGUGCCUCCAAGUAGGCAAUUUCACCGAGAGAGAGAAGGUACAUCAAAAGACCAGCCAAAAGUGACCAACACUAUGCGCAAAAUGUUUUUGCCCAGCACCCAGUCGGGACAAAGAGAAGGCCUCAUCAAACACGUGCUUGCCAAGAGAGAGAAGGCAUACGUCAACCUUCACAACUUCAGAUUUUUUGUGGGAACGUGGAAUGUGAAUGGGCAGUCUCCAGACAGCAGCUUGGAACCCUGGCUGGUGUGUGACACAGAGCCUCCAGACUUCUAUUGCAUUGGGUUCCAGGAGCUGGACCUCAGCACGGAGGCUUUUUUUUACUUUGAUUCUGCAAAGGAGCAAGAAUGGCUGGCGGCCGUGGAGAAGUCCCUGCACCCUCAGGCUAAGUAUAAGAAAGUGCAAAUGGUCCGUCUAGUUGGGAUGAUGUUGCUCAUAUUUGCUAAGAAGGAUCAGCUAGGCAAUAUUAGAGAUAUCAUGACGGAGUCUGUGGGCACAGGAAUCAUGGGAAAGAUGGGCAACAAGGGUGGUGUGGCAGUGAGGUUCGUGUUCCACAACACAACCUUCUGCAUUGUCAAUUCCCACCUCGCUGCUCAUGUGGAGGACUUUGAGCGGCGAAAUCAGGAUUAUAAGGAUAUCUGUGCUCGGAUGGGUUUUGUAACCCCUGAUGAUAGUCUACCUCAGCUCAACAUCAUGAAACAUGAUGUUGUCAUCUGGCUAGGAGACCUGAACUACAGGCUUUGUCUCCUUGAUGCCAGUGAAGUGAAAAGUCUUAUCAGUAAGAAUGAGCUUCAGAAAUUGCUGACAUACGACCAGCUGAAUAUUCAGCGCACUCAGAAGAAAGCAUUUGCAGAUUUCACCGAGGGAGAGAUUAAAUUCAUCCCCACUUAUAAAUAUGACUCUAAAACAGAUCGCUGGGACUCCAGUGGAAAGUGUCGUGUGCCAGCAUGGUGUGAUCGAAUCCUUUGGAGAGGAGGGAACAUAAAUCAGCUCCGGUAUUGCAGUCAUAUGGACCUGAAGACUAGUGACCACAAGCCAGUCAGCGCACUUUUCCGCAUCGGGGUAAAGGUUGUGGAUGAGCAGAGGUAUCGAAAGUUGUUUGAAGACAUCGUUCGUAUAAUGGACAGAAUGGAGAAUGACUUUCUUCCUUCGCUGGAGCUAAGCAGGAGAGAAUUUGAGUUUGAGAAUGUGAAGUUCCGUCAGCUGCAGAAGCAGAAGUUCCAGAUUACCAAUAAUGGGCAGGUCACCUGUCACUUCUCCUUCAUCCCAAAGCUCAACGAUAGCCACUACUGUAAGCCAUGGCUUCGGGCCGAGCCUUGUGAAGGUUACUUGGAGCCAGAUGAGAGCACAGACAUCUCCCUGGAUGUGUAUGUCAGUAAGGACUCAGUAACCCUUCUGAACUCUGGUGAGGAUAAAAUCGAGGAUAUUCUUGUGCUUCACUUGGACCGAGGGAAGGACUAUUUCCUUACCAUCAGUGGGACCUACCUGCCCAGCUGCUUUGGCACCUCUCUGGAGGCCUUAUGCCGAAUGAGGCGACCGAUCCGAGAAGUUCCAGUCACGAAACUCAUUGACCUGGGAGAAGACAGCUUCUUAGAAAAGGAGAAAUCCAUUCUACAGAUGGGCUCCCUGGACAGCGAGGACACAAGUGAGAUGCCACUGCAGAUCCCGAAGGAGAUCUGGCUCUUGGUGGACCACUUGUUCAAGCAUGCCUGCCACCAGGAGGACCUGUUCCAGACUCCGGGCAUGCAAGAAGAGUUGGAACAGAUUAUUGACUGCCUGGACACCAAUAUCCCUGAGACAAUCCCGGGCAGUAACCACUCCGUGGCUGAAGCACUUCUCAUCUUCCUGGAGGCUCUGCCAGAGCCAGUGAUCUGCUACGAGCUGUACCAGCGGUGCCUUGACUGGUCAUACAACAGCCGGCUAUGCCGACAGGUGAUUUUUCAGCUGCCUCGUUGCCAUCGUAGCGUGUUUCGGUACCUAAUGUCAUUCCUCCGAGAGCUGCUCAGAUACUCUGAAGACAACAACGUCAGCGUCGCCAUGAUCGCCGCCUUGUUCUCCAGCCUCCUCCUGCGCCCUCCACCCAAUCUGGUGGCAAAGCAGACUCAGCAGGACCGCCAGCGUGCCAUCAACUUCCUCUAUAGCUUCCUGCUUGCCGGGGAUGAGGAGUGACUCCUGCCUGUGUGCCAAAGCGGAGGCCUGUGCUGCCAGCCUUGCGCGGAGGCCAGGCCUCUGACAGCUCCAGAGGGAGCCUCCUGCUUUCUCCUUGGGAGCUGGGUGGAUCUGUUGAUACCCAAGCACUGUGCCAGCAGCUUGAUGUUCCCAUGGCAGUGUCACCAGUUCCCCAAGUCAUGCUUCUUUGCACCCCCAUCUGCCUGGAGUCACUGUGGGGAAGGGUGGAGACUGUCAGUGCUCUUGAAGGCCAUGGCAUGGCUGGCUGGCACUCAGCCCGUAGGCUGCGUCCCUGCAGGUGCAAAGUAUGCGUGCUGGUGUGUGCUGACUGUACUGGUGAGAGCCCCGUGCUCUGCCCUGGGCUGGCGUUGGGCACCUUCAGCCAUGCAGCAGACCUGGCCAACCCCUCACUGUGCUACGAAAGCGGGACCGUGGCUGACCCAGGAAAGUUACCUGGACGUUUGGCCUCUUCCCUUCAGCAGGGUAUUGCCCUCUCCCCUCCCUCACGGGGUGCAGUGUCUGGCACGCAGCUCUCUCCCAGCACUCCCAGCCUUCUGCCACUGCCACCUUGGCCUUGCUCUCCUCUCUCUCCCUUCCCCUGUGCCCCAGCUUCCUUCUGGGACACAGGAUCUUGGGUGGCUUGGAGGGGCCUGGGUCAGGCAGUGAGCUUCUCCAGGGCUGUCCCUGGGCAAGGCAUGGAGCAGGACACAGCCCCUGUCCCUCCCAGCCCUGCUUGCAGAGCCACAGGGGUAGGACUCGGGUUGGGGAACCGGGGUGGUGGUGGAUACUGUCCUCCCCCUUGUCCAAAGAGUACAGGCUGGAGGCAGAAGGGGAGGGGGGAAAGGAGCCAGAAAUCCACCUCGAGGUCCAGAGGAGCAGCUGGGGGCUAUGCGUGGGUGCUGUAGUGCCAGGGUCACAGACAGCUGGGAAGGGGACACCCUGGGGCCUGGCAACUUGUGGGUGCAAGAGGGAGGCCUGUCCCAGUGAAACACUAAGCAGAGUCCUGCCUGCUUGGGCCAGGGACUGCGUGGCCUCGGCUGAGGGAGGCUGCUGCCGGAGGGGAGGGCCGCAGAUCCCAGAGCCCCCGCCAGUGCCGUUGCUCAGCCCACAGCUGUCCGUCUGGCUGUGUGGUCCCCGUGCACUGGCUGAGCUGCUGGGGGCACCCCUACCUUGUGGCUCUUUUUCUUGUCUUUAAAAUUUUUAAAUUACAUAAUUUAUUGGGAAA
Molecule: RNA transcript, 4051 nt
Organism: Falco peregrinus (peregrine falcon)
Lineage: Eukaryota; Metazoa; Chordata; Aves; Falconiformes; Falconidae
Gene: OCRL
Gene name: OCRL inositol polyphosphate-5-phosphatase
Exons: 24
Source: RefSeq, a predicted model, not a curated record